Molecule: long non-coding RNA, 927 nt
Filed under: Mytilus galloprovincialis (Mediterranean mussel)
Lineage: Eukaryota; Metazoa; Mollusca; Bivalvia; Mytilida; Mytilidae
Source: RNAcentral
UCGUGUUGAUAGUCUUCAGUUUUCAAUGUCGUUUCCUGUGUACUAUUAUUUGUCUGUUUCUCUUUUUCUAUUAGCCAUGGUUUUGUCAGUUUAUUUUCGAUCUUUGAAUUUGAUUGCCCAUCUGGUAUCGUUUACUCCUUUUAAAUUCGUCAUAGAUCAUAGUUUGCCUAUGUCUGCUCAUAUUUCUGCAGAAAUUAUUUUGUUGAAAAAGACUUUACUUUGUUUAAUUAUUAAAUAAUCAAUGUAAUCAAUAUGUAAUCACUUUUAUGAAAUUGAACCUAAUUGUACUGCUGAAAUUAUUGGGCGUCAUAAUUGACAAUAAAAACUUUGUAUCUUGUAUCUUGUAUUCGUUUAUUAAAUUUAGUUUUGAUAUGUUCCUUGACUUAAAAACUUUUACAGCUGACUUUGUCAUCGUAUGAGAAUUAAUGAAAGCUUUUCCUGGUUAAUUUUUCAGUCUCUUGUUCUUUCUUUGGUAGGUGAUUAUCGUUGUGAAUCAGAUGCCUUCCUAUUUCCUGUUUUUCUCUGUAACAGGAAUUUGAAACCAGUAAGAUGUAUUAGCUUCAUAUCUAUAUUUUUAUUAGCAAGUACCAAGUCAGGGAAAUGGCCAUUGUUUUAUUAUAGUUCUUUUCUGUGUGUGUUACAUUUUAAAGUUGUGUUUCUGUUGUGUCGUAGUUCUUUUAUAUUUGAUGCGUUUUCCUCGUAUUAGUUUGUAACCCGGAUGUGUUUUUCUCUAUCGAUUUAUGAAUUUCGAACAGCGGUAUACUACUGUUGCCUUUAUUUAGUUAAAAAUAUUUUAAAAUAAUUUAUACGGAUAACAUGCAACUGGAAUCACGAUGUUCAUACUAUACUUUGUUGGAUAGUUGAUCAGAAUGGUAUGUGUGCAAAGGAUUAAAAGACAUAUUUAUUCAGCAGUAGUCAAUUUUAAGA